GCGCCCGUGUGCAGUCCGCCUGCAGUCCGCCCCUCCGGAGGCGGUGGCGCAGGUUCGAAUCCUGCCGGGGGCA
Molecule: transfer RNA, 73 nt
Filed under: Pseudonocardia sp.
Lineage: Bacteria; Bacillati; Actinomycetota; Actinomycetes; Pseudonocardiales; Pseudonocardiaceae
Description: tRNA-Arg
Rfam family: tRNA
About the family: Transfer RNA (tRNA) molecules are approximately 80 nucleotides in length.
Source: RNAcentral